This is a small nucleolar RNA of Ornithorhynchus anatinus (platypus), 138 nucleotides long. The record is from RefSeq and is a predicted model, not a curated record. NCBI's taxonomy places the organism in Eukaryota, Metazoa, Chordata, Mammalia, Monotremata, Ornithorhynchidae.
CCCCUCUCAGGAUCACACCUGGAGACUUUCCAGUACUCUACCAGUCUCAGCUGGGCGAGGGAAAGUCAAGCGGAGGCCUACCCAUUCCAUUUCUAGCUUGAGCAGUGGCUGGCGAGUGGAAGGCCAUCUGCUACAGGU